This is a long non-coding RNA of Alligator sinensis (Chinese alligator), 228 nucleotides long. RefSeq lists it as uncharacterized. The transcript is spliced from 3 exons. The record is from RefSeq and is a predicted model, not a curated record. Lineage: Eukaryota; Metazoa; Chordata; Crocodylia; Alligatoridae.
GACUGGCCACAUCUGCAGCCCAGAGGUUGAACAAUUUGCUAUAGCCAUAUGAUCACGGCUGCUGUAAAGCACCCUUUUUUGGCCCACACAGCAUGGUCAUCCUUUCUGAAGACAAGUGCGUAAGUGGGGAAGGACUCUCAAACAACAUUACUGCUUCUGCCCAGAAAUAAAAAUGAACAUGUGUGGAUGUGAGACUUCUGUUCCAGUUAUGGAAAUUAUUACCAGGAA